This 2283-nucleotide ribosomal RNA is filed under the name Escherichia coli. RNAcentral describes it as "partial 23S ribosomal RNA". It matches the Rfam family "Bacterial large subunit ribosomal RNA", at positions 418 to 2686 of the family's 2925-position model. The record is from RNAcentral. Lineage: Bacteria; Pseudomonadati; Pseudomonadota; Gammaproteobacteria; Enterobacterales; Enterobacteriaceae.
CGGGACACGUGGUAUCCUGUCUGAAUAUGGGGGGACCAUCCUCCAAGGCUAAAUACUCCUGACUGACCGAUAGUGAACCAGUACCGUGAGGGAAAGGCGAAAAGAACCCCGGCGAGGGGAGUGAAAAAGAACCUGAAACCGUGUACGUACAAGCAGUGGGAGCACGCUUAGGCGUGUGACUGCGUACCUUUUGUAUAAUGGGUCAGCGACUUAUAUUCUGUAGCAAGGUUAACCGAAUAGGGGAGCCGAAGGGAAACCGAGUCUUAACUGGGCGUUAAGUUGCAGGGUAUAGACCCGAAACCCGGUGAUCUAGCCAUGGGCAGGUUGAAGGUUGGGUAACACUAACUGGAGGACCGAACCGACUAAUGUUGAAAAAUUAGCGGAUGACUUGUGGCUGGGGGUGAAAGGCCAAUCAAACCGGGAGAUAGCUGGUUCUCCCCGAAAGCUAUUUAGGUAGCGCCUCGUGAAUUCAUCUCCGGGGGUAGAGCACUGUUUCGGCAAGGGGGUCAUCCCGACUUACCAACCCGAUGCAAACUGCGAAUACCGGAGAAUGUUAUCACGGGAGACACACGGCGGGUGCUAACGUCCGUCGUGAAGAGGGAAACAACCCAGACCGCCAGCUAAGGUCCCAAAGUCAUGGUUAAGUGGGAAACGAUGUGGGAAGGCCCAGACAGCCAGGAUGUUGGCUUAGAAGCAGCCAUCAUUUAAAGAAAGCGUAAUAGCUCACUGGUCGAGUCGGCCUGCGCGGAAGAUGUAACGGGGCUAAACCAUGCACCGAAGCUGCGGCAGCGACGCUGAUGCGUUGUUGGGUAGGGGAGCGUUCUGUAAGCCUGUGAAGGUGUGCUGUGAGGCAUGCUGGAGGUAUCAGAAGUGCGAAUGCUGACAUAAGUAACGAUAAAGCGGGUGAAAAGCCCGCUCGCCGGAAGACCAAGGGUUCCUGUCCAACGUUAAUCGGGGCAGGGUGAGUCGACCCCUAAGGCGAGGCCGAAAGGCGUAGUCGAUGGGAAACAGGUUAAUAUUCCUGUACUUGGUGUUACUGCGAAGGGGGGACGGAGAAGGCUAUGUUGGCCGGGCGACGGUUGUCCCGGUUUAAGCGUGUAGGCUGGUUUUCCAGGCAAAUCCGGAAAAUCAAGGCUGAGGCGUGAUGACGAGGCACUACGGUGCUGAAGCAACAAAUGCCCUGCUUCCAGGAAAAGCCUCUAAGCAUCAGGUAACAUCAAAUCGUACCCCAAACCGACACAGGUGGUCAGGUAGAGAAUACCAAGGCGCUUGAGAGAACUCGGGUGAAGGAACUAGGCAAAAUGGUGCCGUAACUUCGGGAGAAGGCACGCUGAUAUGUAGGUGAAGCGACUUGCUCGUGGAGCUGAAAUCAGUCGAAGAUACCAGCUGGCUGCAACUGUUUAUUAAAAACACAGCACUGUGCAAACACGAAAGUGGACGUAUACGGUGUGACGCCUGCCCGGUGCCGGAAGGUUAAUUGAUGGGGUCAGCGCAAGCGAAGCUCUUGAUCGAAGCCCCGGUAAACGGCGGCCGUAACUAUAACGGUCCUAAGGUAGCGAAAUUCCUUGUCGGGUAAGUUCCGACCUGCACGAAUGGCGUAAUGAUGGCCAGGCUGUCUCCACCCGAGACUCAGUGAAAUUGAACUCGCUGUGAAGAUGCAGUGUACCCGCGGCAAGACGGAAAGACCCCGUGAACCUUUACUAUAGCUUGACACUGAACAUUGAGCCUUGAUGUGUAGGAUAGGUGGGAGGCUUUGAAGUGUGGACGCCAGUCUGCAUGGAGCCGGCCUUGAAAUACCACCCUUUAAUGUUUGAUGUUCUAACGUUGACCCGUGAUCCGGGUUGCGGACAGUGUCUGGUGGGUAGUUUGACUGGGGCGGUCUCCUCCUAAAGAGUAACGGAGGAGCACGAAGGUUGGCUAAUCCUGGUCGGACAUCAGGAGGUUAGUGCAAUGGCAUAAGCCAGCUUGACUGCGAGCGUGACGGCGCGAGCAGGUGCGAAAGCAGGUCAUAGUGAUCCGGUGGUUCUGAAUGGAAGGGCCAUCGCUCAACGGAUAAAAGGUACUCCGGGGAUAACAGGCUGAUACCGCCCAAGAGUUCAUAUCGACGGCGGUGUUUGGCACCUCGAUGUCGGCUCAUCACAUCCUGGGGCUGAAGUAGGUCCCAAGGGUAUGGCUGUUCGCCAUUUAAAGUGGUACGCGAGCUGGGUUUAGAACGUCGUGAGACAGUUCGGUCCCUAUCUGCCGUGGGCGCUGGAGAACUGAGGGGGGCUGCUCCUAGUACGA